GGCCCGGUAGCUCGGAGGACGAGCAGGCGGCUGUUAACCGUCAGGAGCGGGUUCGAUUCCCGCCUGGGCCU
Molecule: transfer RNA, 71 nt
Filed under: Gemmataceae bacterium
Lineage: Bacteria; Pseudomonadati; Planctomycetota; Planctomycetia; Gemmatales; Gemmataceae
Description: tRNA-Asn
Rfam family: tRNA
About the family: Transfer RNA (tRNA) molecules are approximately 80 nucleotides in length.
Source: RNAcentral